RNAcentral lists this transfer RNA (85 nucleotides) under Candidatus Tectomicrobia bacterium RIFCSPLOWO2_02_FULL_70_19. RNAcentral describes it as "tRNA-Leu". It matches the Rfam family "tRNA". From Rfam's summary of the family: Transfer RNA (tRNA) molecules are approximately 80 nucleotides in length. Their secondary structure includes four short double-helical elements and three loops (D, anti-codon, and T loops). Lineage: Bacteria; Pseudomonadati; Candidatus Tectimicrobiota. RNAcentral also lists the same sequence under 2 other names. The record is from RNAcentral.
GCGAGGGUGGCGGAACUGGCAGACGCGCAGGACUUAGGAUCCUGUGCCUUCGGGCGUGGGGGUUCGAGUCCCCCCCUUCGCACCA